ACGAGGGGUGCUAGCGUUGCUCGGAAUCACUGGGCGUAAAGCGAGUGUAGGUGGUCUUACAAGUCGAAUGUGAAAUCCUGCGGCUUAACCGCAGAAGUGCAUCCGAAACUGUAAGACUAGAGCACGGUAGAGGGCGGGGGAAUUCCCGGUGGAGCGGUGAAAUGCGUUGAUAUCGGGAGGAAUCCCAGUGGCGAAGGCGCCCGCCUGGGCCGUUGCUGACACUCAGACUCGAAAGCGUGGGGAGCAAACAG
RNAcentral lists this ribosomal RNA (251 nucleotides) under uncultured prokaryote. RNAcentral describes it as "partial 16S rRNA". It matches the Rfam family "Bacterial small subunit ribosomal RNA", at positions 525 to 775 of the family's 1533-position model. The record is from RNAcentral.